UGCCAGCCGCCGCGGUAAUACGAGGGGUCCUAGCGUUGUCCGGAUUUACCGGGCGUAAAGCGCGCGUAGGUGGUUUGAUAAGCUAGCUGUGAAAGCCCCGGGCUCAACCUGGGAACUGCAGUUAGAACUGUCUGACUAGAGUACAGUAGAGGGUGGCGGAAUUUCCUGUGUAGCGGUGAAAUGCGUAGAUAUAGGAAGGAACAUCAGUGGCGAAGGCGGCCACCUGGACUGAUACUGACACUGAGGUGCGAAAGCGUGGGGAGCAAACAGGAUUAGAUA
Molecule: ribosomal RNA, 279 nt
Filed under: uncultured bacterium
Lineage: Bacteria
Description: partial 16S ribosomal RNA
Rfam family: Bacterial small subunit ribosomal RNA
Source: RNAcentral